ACGAAGGGUGCAAGCGUUGUUCGGAUUCAUUGGGCGUAAAGCGCGCGCAGGCGGGUAAUUAAGUCAGAUGUGAAAUCCCAGGGCUUAACCCUGGAACUGCGUUUGAUACUGCUUCGCUAGAGUGCGGGAGAGGAAAGUGGAAUUACUGGUGUAGAGGUGAAAUUCGUAUAUAUGAGGAGGAACACCGGUGGCGAAGGCGACUUUCUGGCCUGAUACUGACGCUCAGGCGCGAAAGCGUGGGGAGCAAACAG
This 251-nucleotide ribosomal RNA is filed under the name uncultured prokaryote. RNAcentral's name for it is "partial 16S rRNA". It matches the Rfam family "Bacterial small subunit ribosomal RNA", at positions 525 to 775 of the family's 1533-position model. The record is from RNAcentral.